CAAGUCGAACGGCAGCACGGGGGCAACCCGUGGUGGCGAGUGGCGAACGGGUGAGUGAAGCAUCGGAACGUGCCCUGGAGUGGGGGAUAACGUAGCGAAAGUUACGCUAAUACCGCAUAUUCUGUGAGCAGGAAAGCAGGGGAUCGCAAGACCUUGCGCUCUGGGGAGUGGCCGAUGUCGGAUUAGCUAGGUUGGUGGGGUAAAGGCCUACCAAGGCGACGAUCCGUAGCGGGUCUGAGAGGAUGAUCCGCCACACUGGGACUGAGACACGGCCCAGACUCCUACGGGAGGCAGCAGUGGGGAAUUUUGGACAAUGGGCGAAAGCCUGAUCCAGCCAUGCCGCGUGAGUGAAGAAGGCCUUCGGGUUGUAAAGCUCUUUCGGUGGGGAAGAAAUUGCAUAGGUUAAUACCCUGUGUAGAUGACGGUACCUGGAGAAGAAGCACCGGCUAACUACGUG
Molecule: ribosomal RNA, 457 nt
Filed under: uncultured bacterium
Lineage: Bacteria
Description: bacterial SSU rRNA
Rfam family: Bacterial small subunit ribosomal RNA
Source: RNAcentral